This is a long non-coding RNA of Rhipicephalus sanguineus (brown dog tick), 246 nucleotides long. RefSeq lists it as uncharacterized. The transcript has 3 exons. The record is from RefSeq and is a predicted model, not a curated record. NCBI's taxonomy places the organism in Eukaryota, Metazoa, Arthropoda, Arachnida, Ixodida, Ixodidae.
GAUUGGCAAGAGCUUUUUCGGCGGCAUGUUUGGAAGUGUCUUUGACACCGCAACCUCUAUGCUGCCUCUGGGUGACUGCACCGGCCUGAACCUUGCCGGCGACAUCAUGUGCGGCCAGCCGGUGGUCUUCGAAUUUCCCAGCGCACUCAACAUUGGAAAGUGUCUGAACACAACGAUGUCGACAUGCGUUGGAACUCAUGCGAAUCAGGAUCUGGUCGUAAAACAGUUCUUCCAAGCUGCCACUGU